Small nuclear RNA from Myotis lucifugus (little brown bat), 107 nucleotides. NCBI's taxonomy places the organism in Eukaryota, Metazoa, Chordata, Mammalia, Chiroptera, Vespertilionidae. The record is from Ensembl.
GUGCCUGCUUUGGCAGGACAUAUACUAAAAUUGGAAAGAUACAGAGAAGAUGAACAUGGCUCCUGGGUACGGAUGAUAGAUAAAUUCACGAAGAAUUCCCUANNNNN